RNAcentral lists this ribosomal RNA (264 nucleotides) under uncultured bacterium. Its description in RNAcentral is "partial small subunit ribosomal RNA". It matches the Rfam family "Bacterial small subunit ribosomal RNA", at positions 26 to 287 of the family's 1533-position model. The record is from RNAcentral.
AGGAUUAACGCUGGCGGCGUGCAUGAAACAUGCAAGUCGAGCGCGGCGCGUGGCUUCGGUCACGCGUCUAGCGGCGCACGGGUGAGUAACACGUGAGCAACCUACCUUCGAGUUCGGGAUAGCCCUGGGAAACCAGGAUUAAUACCGGAUGUGGUCACAACGGGACAUCCCGACGUGAAAAAGGCGCAAGCCGCUCGAUGACGGGCUCGCGGCCUAUUAGCUUGGUUGGUGGGGUAACGGCCUACCAAGGCGACGAUGGGUAGC